Long non-coding RNA from Pteronotus mesoamericanus, 570 nucleotides. RefSeq lists it as uncharacterized. NCBI's taxonomy places the organism in Eukaryota, Metazoa, Chordata, Mammalia, Chiroptera, Mormoopidae. The transcript has 4 exons. The record is from RefSeq and is a predicted model, not a curated record.
AGACAGACAUACAGAGUGGGGCUCAACUAGUCUUUCAGAAGAUAACAUUGUCUGCACAAAUGUUGAUGGGAAAGUGGGAUAUGGGUUGGUGGUGGCCGUGCCUUGGGGAUGUGAGUGUUGACCUGCACAGCCAACUCCACGAGUGAAGUGAACGGGACGGCGUGUGAUUCACAAAUGAGAAGACAGAGGAGUUUUAUUCUGAGGAUCACUUAAGUCAGUUUGUGGCUGAGCCGGUACCCAUCCUGAGUCUGGUGAUUCCAGGUGCUGGAUUCUUCCCCCACGUGCCCUUCAGCUCUGGACCUAAGCUAUUCUCCACGUGGAAGGUGGCGUUCCUGAUAACACUGCUGCCCACGUGGCUGGGGACAGUGCUAUGAUAGAAACCUACCCGGGAACACCACACCCAGCAGAUCUCCGUGUAUGUGAAUGGACAUUCCCUUUGGUUUAUACCUGAACGCUGUGCAUCUAUUUUGGGUUGCAUAUUGUGUUUGUGUAUUUAUGCUCUGAUUCAUAGUAACUUCCCAUGUGAUGGAAUUGAUUUGCAUUGAAUGCAAACUGUAAAUAAAAAGAAAU